GAUGAACGCUGGCGGCGUGCCUAAUACAUGCAAGUCGAGCGAACAGACGAGGAGCUUGCUCCUCUGACGUUAGCGGCGGACGGGUGAGUAACACGUGGAUAACCUACCUAUAAGACUGGGAUAACUUCGUGAAACCGGAGCUAAUACCGGAUAAUAUAUUGAACCGCAUGGUUCAAUAGUGAAAGACGGCUUUGCUGUCACUUAUAGAUGGAUCCGUGCCGCAUUAGCUAGUUGGUAAGGUAACGGCUUACCAACGCAACGAGGCGUAGCCAACCUGAGUGGGUGAUCGGUGACACUGGACCUGAGACUCGGUCCAGAGUGCUACGGGAGGCAGAAGUAGGGAAUCUUCCUCAAGGGGCGGAAGCAUGACAGAGCAACGCAGCGUGAGUGAUGAAGGACUUCGGAUCGUAAAACUCUGUUACUAGGGAGGAACAAAUGUGUAAGUAACUAUGCACGUCUAGACGGUACCUAAUCAGAAAGCAACGGCUAACUACGUG
Molecule: ribosomal RNA, 497 nt
Filed under: uncultured bacterium
Lineage: Bacteria
Description: partial 16S ribosomal RNA
Rfam family: Bacterial small subunit ribosomal RNA
Source: RNAcentral